RNAcentral lists this ribosomal RNA (253 nucleotides) under uncultured bacterium. RNAcentral's name for it is "partial 16S ribosomal RNA". It matches the Rfam family "Bacterial small subunit ribosomal RNA", at positions 524 to 776 of the family's 1533-position model. The record is from RNAcentral.
UACGAAGGGUGCAAGCGUUAUUCGGAAUCAUUGGGCGUAAAGGGUGCGCAGGCGGUAUGUUAAGUCAGUUGUUAAAUUCUUCGGCCUAACUGAAGGUCAGCAGCAGAUACUGGCAUGCUAGAGUAUGGAAGAGAGAAGUGGAAUUCUCGGAGUAGCGGUAAAAUGCGUAGAUCUCGAGAGGAACACCAAUGGCGAAGGCAGCUUCUUGGUCCAUUACUGACGCUCAUGCACGAAAGCGUGGGGAGCAAACAGG